AAUCAACGCUGGCGGCGUGCCUAACACAUGCAAGUCGAACGAGAAGGUGACUUCGGUCACUGGAUAGUGGCGUCCGGGUGAGUAACACGUAGGUAAUCUACCUUCGGGUGGGGAAUAACGUCUCGAAAGAGACGCUAAUACCGCAUAAUGCAGCGGCACCUAAUGGUGAUUAGUUGUUAAAGCGGGGGAUCUUCGGACCUCGCGCCUGAAGAGGAGCCUGCGGCAGAUUAGCUAGUUGGUGAGGUAAUGGCUCACCAAGGCUUCGACCUGUAGCUGGUCUGAGAGGACGGCCAGCCACACUGGCACUGACACACGGGCCAGACUCCUACGGGAGGCAGCAGUGGGGAAUUUUGGGCAAUGGGCGAAAGCCUGACCCAGCAACGCCGCGUGAAGGAGGAAAUCCUUCGGGAUGUAAACUUCAUAAGUAAGGGAAGAAAGCUGCGGAUCGAAUAAGUCCGCAGUCCGACGGUACCUUACGUAAGCCACGGCUAACUACGUGCCAG
RNAcentral lists this ribosomal RNA (503 nucleotides) under uncultured bacterium. RNAcentral's name for it is "bacterial SSU rRNA". It matches the Rfam family "Bacterial small subunit ribosomal RNA", at positions 32 to 511 of the family's 1533-position model. The record is from RNAcentral.